AAAAAAUGAAAAAAAUGAUGAACAAGGCAUGUGAAACAUAUGAAGCUUAAUGAAGAAAAUGCAAAAAUCCAAAAAUGCAAAUGCUGGCGCCUGGACUCGAGCUUCGUCCAAAUUCAAACAGGGCGCCACUUAAGUGAAACGCCGCGUUUCACUUAAGUGCGUGGCGUGAUCUGAUUGGUGCAUGGCUCACAAACAAAGAAAAUCAUGCAAACA
RNAcentral lists this long non-coding RNA (213 nucleotides) under Lathyrus oleraceus (garden pea). RNAcentral's name for it is "Pisum sativum (pea) long non-coding RNA (PSAT_LNC033123)". Lineage: Eukaryota; Viridiplantae; Streptophyta; Magnoliopsida; Fabales; Fabaceae. The record is from RNAcentral.